Molecule: ribosomal RNA, 208 nt
Filed under: uncultured bacterium
Lineage: Bacteria
Description: partial 16S ribosomal RNA
Rfam family: Bacterial small subunit ribosomal RNA
Source: RNAcentral
UACGGAGGGGGCUAGCGUUAAUCGGAAUUACUGGGCGUAAAGCGUGCGCAGGCGCUAUGCAAGACAGAUGUGAAAUCCCCGGGCUCAACCUGGGAACUGCAUUUGUGACUGCAUAGCUAGAGGUACGGUAGAGGGGGAUGGAAAUUCCGCGUGUAGGCAGUGAAAUGCGUAGAUAUGCGGAGGAACACCGAGUGGCGAAGGCAAUCCC